This is a long non-coding RNA of Brassica napus (rape), 993 nucleotides long. RefSeq lists it as uncharacterized. The record is from RefSeq and is a predicted model, not a curated record. The transcript is spliced from 2 exons. NCBI's taxonomy places the organism in Eukaryota, Viridiplantae, Streptophyta, Magnoliopsida, Brassicales, Brassicaceae.
UUAUUUUACUAUCAGUGGUAAGUUCACUAUCACAUUAUAUUUAUAUCUAUUUAUUUUUGGCUUUCUAGCCAUUAUGUUGUUGAUUUUCUUUUUAAAAUAAUACCUAAUAAUGUACAUUAUUCUUCUUUAAUAUUUUAUUUAGUCUAGUUUUUGAUGUAUAUUUAUUUUAUUAAGUUUGUUAUACUCCAUAAUUGUGUUAUUGUUUGGAUUAAGCUUUUUCAUUGUAUAUUGAAAUGUUUUGGUCUGAAAUAUUUUUUAUAUAUCAUCUGGUGUGUCAAUUACCACUUGAUGAGUCUUUCUUCUCAGCCUUCUGAUUUUUUGACAUUAAAUGUUAUGAUAAUAAUUUUCUAUAUUGUAUAAUUUAAAUUUCAGUUAUUUAUAUAUAUAUAUAUAUAUAUGUUGUUUGGUCAUCAAAUUUGUUACUAUGAUGUGUUAACUACCAUUUGAUGAGUCUUUCUCAUUAAACUUUUUUUAACUUUUCUGGUUCGUUGUAUUCAGGAUAUGCAAUGUAUAUCUUGGUCUCAAUAGAUUGUGCGGUUUUGUGAUGUUACUUUUAUAAAUCAUUGAGUGCUUGUUUAUUUUAGAAUCAAAUAUCUUCACCUUGUUUGCAAAAUAUUAAUCUUUUAGCCUGCUAGGUACCUUUGAGUUCUCUGGUAGUACGUGAUGGGCCAGGUGAGUUGAUCAUCCCAGCCAGGGAUACUAUGGCGAUGAGAUCAUUUGAAGCUUCAAGUGACGUCUGAUCUAAUAGUUUGACCUGGCCCACAAAACCGGUUUGGUUUUCAAACAGAUGACGUACAAAUAGAUGAACACUGGGAGUCGUGUUUAAAUAAUAAUUUUGGUGGGGGCUAGAAGGAGGUAAACCAGAAUGCCAAGUGUCAAUGUCCAUAAGUUUUCGGAGGAGAAAGUUUAAAUGUUCCAGAUUUUAUAAAUUUCGGACAAUGAUGAUGUUCAUGAGAUGUCUCAGUAAAAAGCUUUUUAUUUGAUGUUUGGAUA